This 835-nucleotide ribosomal RNA is filed under the name uncultured Acidobacteriota bacterium. RNAcentral describes it as "bacterial SSU rRNA". It matches the Rfam family "Bacterial small subunit ribosomal RNA", at positions 83 to 896 of the family's 1533-position model. Lineage: Bacteria; Pseudomonadati; Acidobacteriota. The record is from RNAcentral.
GGGAUUAGUAGAGUGGCAAACGGGUGAGUAACGCGUGGGUGACCUGCCUCANAGUGGGGGAUAACCUUCCGAAAGGAGGGCUAAUACCGCAUGACAUACCGUGUUUGGAUACACGGAUAUCAAAGCCGGGGAUCGCAAGACCUGGCGCUUGGAGAGGGGCCCGCGUCCGAUUAGCUAGUUGGUGGGGUAACGGCUCACCAAGGCUCCGAUCGGUAUCCGGCCUGAGAGGGCGGACGGACACACUGGAACUGAGACACGGUCCAGACUCCUACGGGAGGCAGCAGUGGGGAAUUGUUCGCAAUGGGCGCAAGCCUGACGACGCAACGCCGCGUGGAGGAUGAAGACUUUCGGGUCGUAAACUCCUUUCGACCGAGAUGAAUUUCCCGCGACCUAACACGUCGCGGGAGUGACAGUAUCGAGGGAAGAAGCCCCGGCUAACUCCGUGCCAGCAGCCGCGGUAAUACGGGGGGGGCAAGCGUUGUUCGGAAUUACUGGGCGUAAAGGGUUUGUAGGUGGCUUGCUAAGUCAGACGUGAAAUCCCUCAGCUUAACUGGGGAACUGCGUCUGAUACUGGUGAGCUUGAGUGCAGGAGAGGAACGCGGAAUUCCAGGUGUAGCGGUGAAAUGCGUAGAUAUCUGGAGGAACACCGGUGGCGAAGGCGGCGUUCUGGACUGCAACUGACACUGAGAAACGAAAGCCAGGGGAGCAAACGGGAUUAGAUACCCCGGUAGUCCUGGCCCUAAACGAUGAAUGCUUGGUGUGGCGGGUAUCGAUCCCUGCCGAGCCGAAGUUAACGCGUUAAGCAUUCCGCCUGGGGAGUACGGUCGCAAGGCUG